Ctenopharyngodon idella (grass carp) is the source of this 2461-nucleotide long non-coding RNA. RefSeq lists it as uncharacterized. The transcript is spliced from 2 exons. The record is from RefSeq and is a predicted model, not a curated record. Lineage: Eukaryota; Metazoa; Chordata; Actinopteri; Cypriniformes; Xenocyprididae.
GGCAGAGAGGUCAGCCUGCCUGUGGGCUGAAACUGUACUCCAAUCGAGCAAUGUGUCUACAGAUGCCUGACUAACUAGAACUGAGUUAGAUCUAACAAAGUCUCCCUUUGAGGACAACUAAGAACUCCUACAAUUAUAGUGGUUCCCCAGGCGAAAGUAAACAGUGCGGAGCGGCUGAUAGCUCACAUCCAGGCUUCCUCUGGCAGGAACCAGCUGUGUCUGUGGGCAGAUCAUUCUUCCCGUUCCUACCGGACAGUGGUGCCCAUACUUCCUCUCGAACACCUCCUGGUCUGCGCAUAAGUUCAGACGCUUUGAAAGCAGACCAGUCUGCUGAUAGACGCCUGCUUUCAAACACUCCCACUUUUAAAACGUGUGCUUUCAAACGCUCCUCUGCGUUGAUCAUUGUAGCCAAUCACAGACAUAUCUGUUGAGCGUGUGAACACAAAGGCCAAUCAGAGGUGUUUACGAAUCCGCUCAACAGCGCUCAAAGCAUCACAUUUUUAAAAUUUGGUAUCGCAAUCUGUACUUUUGACAAUACUACCAAGCUGAUGUCAAAGAACUAGCGGCGACUAAAGCCGACUGUGAUUGAAUAUCAAUCACGUUGAUUACUUUUUUCAUUCCAGGCGAAUCAUGUUGUUAUGAAAAUAUUUGCGUAUCCUCAGGUAAAAUUAGAACAGUCUUCUGUCUGUGACAUCUUGACUUUUUUUGCUUAACUUCUUUUUUGCUUUAACUUUUAUUUCAUAACUUCAAGGCCCUGUUUACACCUGGUAUUAAGAUGUGUUUUGGUCGAUCGGAUCACAAGUGGACGAGGGAGACACAUUCCCAUUUACACCUGGUGUUUGAAUCCGUCUCUUUUGUCCAUUUUCAACCACUUCUGUCCUGAUUUCUUCGAGGGGAGGGUCUAUGGGCGGGUAAAUGUAUGUUUUUUUUUUCAGAACUUUCAAUCUAAUGGAUGAAAGAAGCUUGUGCAAUUUACAUAUGAACGCGACCGGAGACGACGGAAAAAAAUACGGAGAGCAUCAGCUUUCGUUUCUGCUCUUAUAGCCGUAAGAUCAGCCAAACGCUCUGAGUGUGUGUUAGAAAUCAGGAAUGGUGAGAGAACAUUGUGCUUGGUACGUUUUUCAUCUUCAAACCAAAUUUGUGUCUUCAGCCGACAAAGUUUAAAUCCCGUCUGACUAGCACGCUUCCCAUAAUGUUUAUGUGUUAGGUCAGUAGGUGGAAAGUAGGUAAGAUAUUUUGCGUUGUUCGAACACAUUCCACCACAUGAGCAUUUACACUAUGAAAGCAAUCCAUUCGAAUGCGUUUUCACCUGCCCCUGGAAAAGAUCGAGAGUGGACAAGCUCAAAACUUUUUAGACCCCAUUUACACCUGUAUUUAGCGUCAUCCACUUGUGAUCCGAUCGACCAAAACUCAUCUUAAUACCAGUUGUAAACAGGGCCCAGCAUGCUGACUUGACCAAACUGUCACUGACGGGGGCCAGAUUAGAGCUGAGAUGUGGAACGCACCACAGAAACUAGGCGGGCAGCCCAACGUUGGCUGACGACCAUCGGCUUGGUGUGUCACGGCCUUAAGAUGUUUAGGUUUGCUGCUAAUUUAUUCUGAGUAGUUGCUACAUGGUUGCUUAAAAUGGUUGUUUAAAAUGUCCGACAUAUAGAGCAGUUGCACUUCGGGCGUCCCGAGUUCGAGUCCCGGCUCGUGGACCUUUCCCGAUCCCGUCCUCCUCUCUCUCUCUCCAACUUUGCUUCCUGUCAACUUACUGUCCUGUCAUAAUAAAGGCAAAAACAACAAAAAUAAAUCUUAAAAAAAAAAAUACAAAAUCAUCUGAUAGCUUAGAAAAGUAGUUGCAUGCCUCUCCUAAAUAACCCACAGGAUUUAAGGUGUCAUUCCUGUCUGUUAAACAGUGAAGUUUAGUACAUAGUUUUGCAGGUUUGUUUCAGAUCUCUAAUCUUAAGCAUGAGCAAUAGUAACAGAGCUUGCCUUAGCAAAACUUUUUUUAAGAAAGAUAAUGGAGAAAGAGAGAAUUAGAGCCUCAGGGCUAGAGAGUAGCAGUCCUGCAGCCCACUGCAGUAAUGCUGGUACUGAGAAAUUAGCCUGUGUACAGCUGUGACCCACACACACACACACACAUACACACACACACACUUAUUCUGAGGACAGAAGUGAAAGGGGAUGUGCACACAGAUGCACCGGCUGUCACUGCCAAACUCACACAGAUGGUGGCCAGCAGAGUGGAUAUGAGAGUGUGUGUGCGGGAGUUUGGCCAUGUGUUACAGGUGGAAGUUUUGUAACAGAGGCGUAACUAUAUCAUAUUUUUUGUCCCCCAUAACCACAAAAUAUUUUAGGGACUUUCCUCGUGUGUACACAGUGGAAAAUGUAAUGCUCAGAGGUUGCUCUUUCUAUAUCAACUUUGAUGUUUCUGCUAAAUUGUGCCUUGGAGAAAUAAAAAUACACUCAACUGAGA